CCCGCACAAGCGGUGGAGCAUGUGGUUUAAUUCGAUGCAACGCGAAGAACCUUACCUGGGCUUGACAUCCCUGGAAUCCCCUGGAAACAGGGGAGUGCCCUUCGGGGAGCCAGGAGACAGGUGCUGCAUGGCUGUCGUCAGCUCGUGUCGUGAGAUGUUGGGUUAAGUCCCGCAACGAGCGCAACCCUUGUCUUUAAUUGCCAUCAUUCAGUUGGGCACUUUAAAGAGACUGCCGGUGUUAAGCCGGAGGAAGGUGGGGAUGACGUCAAGUCCUCAUGGCCUUUAUGCCCAGGGCUACACACGUGCUACAAUGGGUGGUACAAAGAGAUGCCAACUCGCGAGAGCGCGCCAAUCUCAGAAAGCCAUCCUCAGUUCGGAUUGGAGUCUGCAACUCGACUCCAUGAAGUUGGAAUCGCUAGUAAUCGCGGAUCAGCACGCCGCGGUGAAUACGUUCCCGGGCCUU
This 463-nucleotide ribosomal RNA is filed under the name uncultured Syntrophus sp. Its description in RNAcentral is "bacterial SSU rRNA". It matches the Rfam family "Bacterial small subunit ribosomal RNA", at positions 920 to 1382 of the family's 1533-position model. The record is from RNAcentral. Lineage: Bacteria; Pseudomonadati; Thermodesulfobacteriota; Syntrophia; Syntrophales; Syntrophaceae.